AUGAAGAGGCUGCUGUGCUCUCUGCUGGGGCUUCUGUGCACCCAGGUUUGCUGGGUGAAGGGGCAGCAAGUGCAGCAGAGUCCUGUGUCCUUGGUUCUGCAGGAGGGAGAGAACGCAGAGCUGCAGUGCAAAUUUUCCACCUCAGCAACCGGGCUGCAGUGGUUUUUCCAACGUCCUGGGAGAAGCCUUGUCAGCCUGUUGAACAAUCCUUCUGGGACAAAGAAGAGUGGAAGACUGACAUCCACGACAGUCACAAGGGAACGACGAAGUUCUUUGCACAUCUCCUCCUCCCAGACCACAGACUCAGGCACUUAUUUCUGUGCUAUGGAUGCACAGUGCUCCCCCACACACCUGCAGCCUGUGCACAAACCUUCAGCCGAGUGGUUAUGUCUCUUCUUAGUCAGAAGACAUCAGGAAGCCACCACAGAAUAUGUAUCUAGCUUAAUGCCUCUUUCCUGUAUCUCUAGAGUUUCACCCUCAUCUAAGCUUGAACUUGUAGGUUCAAAACUUUGA
This is a non-coding RNA of Rattus norvegicus (Norway rat), 513 nucleotides long. NCBI's taxonomy places the organism in Eukaryota, Metazoa, Chordata, Mammalia, Rodentia, Muridae. The record is from the annotation of a RefSeq genome assembly.